Molecule: ribosomal RNA, 489 nt
Filed under: uncultured bacterium
Lineage: Bacteria
Description: partial 16S ribosomal RNA
Rfam family: Bacterial small subunit ribosomal RNA
Source: RNAcentral
AUUGAACGCUGGCGGCAGGCCUAACACAUGCAAGUCGAACGGUAACAGGAAACAGCUUGCUGUUUCGCUGACGAGUGGCGGACGGGUGAGUAAUGUCUGGGAAACUGCCUGAUGGAGGGGGAUAACUACUGGAAACGGUAGCUAAUACCGCAUAACGUCGCAAGACCAAAGAGGGGGACCCUCGGGCCUCUUGCCAUCGGAUGUGCCCGGAUGGUCUUCGCUUGUUGGUGGGGUAACGGCUCACCAAGGCGACGAUCCCUAGCUGGUCUGAGAGGAGGACCAGCCACACAGGAACUGAGACACGGUCCAGACUCCUACGGGAGGCAGCAGUGGGGAAUAUUGCACAAUGGGCGCAAGCCUGAUGCAGCCAUGCAGCGUGUAUGAAGAAGGCCUGCGGGUUGUAAAGUACUUUCAGCGGGGAGGAAGGGAGUAAAGUUAAUACCUUUGCUCAUUGACGUUACCCGCAGAAGAAGCACCGGCUAACUCCGU